Molecule: ribosomal RNA, 322 nt
Filed under: uncultured eukaryote
Lineage: Eukaryota
Description: partial 18S ribosomal RNA
Rfam family: Eukaryotic small subunit ribosomal RNA
Source: RNAcentral
CCCUUAGAUGUUCUGGGCCGCACGCGUGCUACACUGAGUAAAUCAAUGGGUAAGGGAACACGAAAGUGCAACCUAAUCUUGAAAUUUGCUCGUGAUGGGGAUCGACGGUUGCAAUUUUCCGUCGUGAGCGAGGAAUACCUUGUAGGCGCGUGUCAUCAUCACGCGCCGAAUACGUCCCUGCCCUUUGUACACACCGCCCGUCGCUCCUACCGAUUGAGUGAUCCGGUGAGGCUCUGGGACCUGGACGGAAAGAGCGUUUCGCUUGUUCUGUUUGGGAAACUUGGUCGAACCUUAUCAUUUAGAGGAAGGAGAAGUCGUAACA